Molecule: ribosomal RNA, 433 nt
Filed under: uncultured bacterium
Lineage: Bacteria
Description: partial 16S ribosomal RNA
Rfam family: Bacterial small subunit ribosomal RNA
Source: RNAcentral
AACGAACGCUGGCGGUAUGCCUAACACAUGCAAGUCGAACGAGACCUACGGGUCUAGUGGCGCACGGGUGCGUAACGCGUGGGAACCUGCGCUUAGGUUCGGCAUAACCCCCCGAACGGGGUGCUAAUACCGGAUAAUUUCCUCGGCCCAAAGAUUUAUCGCCUCUGGCUGGGCCCGCGUUGGCUUAGCUAGUUGGUAGGGUAAACGACUACCAAGGCGACGAUCCAUAGCUGGUCUGAGAGGAUGAUCAGCCACACUGGGACUGAGACACGGCCCAGACUCCUACCGGAGGCCGCCGUGGGGAAGAUUGGACAAAAGGGGGAAGCCUGAUCCACCAAUGCCGCGUGACUGAUGAAGGCCUUAGGGUCGGAAAGCUCUGAUGCCUGAGAGGACAAUGCCAGUACCUGGAGAGUACAACACGGCGAACGCAGUG